Molecule: ribosomal RNA, 253 nt
Filed under: uncultured bacterium
Lineage: Bacteria
Description: partial 16S ribosomal RNA
Rfam family: Bacterial small subunit ribosomal RNA
Source: RNAcentral
UACGAAGGGGGCUAGCGUUGCUCGGAAUCACUGGGCGUAAAGCGCACGUAGGCGGAUUGCUAAGUCAGGGGUGAAAUCCUGGAGCUCAACUCCAGAACUGCCCUUGAUACUGGCGACCUUGAGUCCGGGAGAGGUGAGUGGAACUGCGAGUGUAGAGGUGAAAUUCGUAGAUGUUCGCAAGAACACCAGUGGCGAAGGCGGCUCACUGGCCCGGUACUGACGCUGAGGUGCGAAAGCGUGGGGAGCAAACAGG